RNAcentral lists this ribosomal RNA (1130 nucleotides) under Triticum aestivum (bread wheat). RNAcentral describes it as "partial small subunit ribosomal RNA". Lineage: Eukaryota; Viridiplantae; Streptophyta; Magnoliopsida; Poales; Poaceae. The record is from RNAcentral.
GGUGCCCGGCAUAACUUGAGAUUUAGCCAGCUGAGAGGGCAUUGGGUUGGGGUCGGGUGCGCGCUUCUAGAGAGAAGCAGAACGUGCCGGAGCUUCCCUCUGGAUCUAGAUAAAAACGGGGAUAUAUACGACCAGUCUGGCUCUCGUUUGGAGUUUAGGGUCGGGACUUUGGGAUCGGCGUUAGACGGAGCUGAAGAAAGGUUGGAAGUAGGUACCCUGAAUAACCAAAUCCCUGAAUUUUUUCAGGGAUUCAGGGUAGAUUUGGUUUGUCUCCCUGAAUAUCCCUGAAUUUAACCCGUGAACCCUGAAUACUUUAUUCUUAGAGUUCCUACAUCCCUGAAUAUCAACAUUAUACCAAAAAAAUCAGGUAGAAUUCAGAGUCCUUGGUUUGUCCGUCCCUUUGAAAUCCCUGAAUUAACCCUAAUUUUUUUAGGAUCCUGAACACUUGGUUUGUCCCGGAGUUAAAUAAGGCCUUAGACCUAAGACGGCGUCGAAGACGAUCUGGAAGUAUACAACUACUUCAACCACCUGACGACGUGCGGGAUUUCGACAGACUAGAGGUACAGGAGCUGACUCGUCACGAACCAAUGUAUUAACGACUUAACUAAAACCGACGACCAGCUUGAACCAGUACGUACCGUAUAGUUCCCUUUCUCGACAUUAAACAAACCUUCAACACUGAAAAACACAAACAAUAAGUCUCCAGACAUGAGUACUCUCGAACACUGGCAUAGUUACGUGGCUUCCUCCAAGUUAUGUCGCGACUAAGUAGGGUCGCUUCGAGAUAACGUUACGUCGUGCCCGUCACGUUGGUCGUCGAAUCCGUUGUAGCAAACUCAACGUCGUGGCGGGCCCGAGACUCCCGGAGGUCGCUACGAGGUAACGUUGGCCGUCUCGGGGGGACCAAUCGUACACGACGAACGGUCUCCGUUUGUGUGGGGAACGGCAAGCUGAGGUCUUGGCCGAUGAGAUGGCACGGAGACCCGUGCCGUCUCACGGCACGAAUAAUGCGUGGUGGUCGCACGUGUAACUAUACCCGGUCUUUCGCUUCACGUCGCGACGUGCGUCGCGUAGGUGCCGACCAUGACGCAGCGCUAAACCUGGUCGACGUUCACGAUGAACCGCAUAUU